AUUGAACGCUGGCGGCAGGCCUAACACAUGCAAGUCGAGCGGAUGAAGGGAGCUUGCUCCUGGAUUCAGCGGCGGACGGGUGAGUAAUGCCUAGGAAUCUGCCUGGUAGUGGGGGAUAACGCCCGGAAACGGGCGCUAAUACCGCAUACGUCCUGAGGGAGAAAGUGGGGGAUCUUCGGACCUCACGCUAUCAGAUGAGCCUAGGUCGGAUUAGCUAGUUGGUGGGGUAAAGGCCUACCAAGGCGACGAUCCGUAACUGGUCUGAGAGGAUGAUCAGUCACACUGGAACUGAGACACGGUCCAGACUCCUACGGGAGGCAGCAGUGGGGAAUAUUGGACAAUGGGCGAAAGCCUGAUCCAGCCAUGCCGCGUGUGUGAAGAAGGCCUUCGGAUUGUAAAGCACUUUAAGUUGGGAGGAAGGGCAGUAAGUUAAUACCUUGCUGUUUUGACGUUACCAACAGAAUAAGCACCGGCUAACUUCGUG
RNAcentral lists this ribosomal RNA (484 nucleotides) under uncultured bacterium. Its description in RNAcentral is "partial 16S ribosomal RNA". It matches the Rfam family "Bacterial small subunit ribosomal RNA", at positions 30 to 507 of the family's 1533-position model. The record is from RNAcentral.